RNAcentral lists this ribosomal RNA (274 nucleotides) under uncultured bacterium. Its description in RNAcentral is "partial 16S ribosomal RNA". It matches the Rfam family "Bacterial small subunit ribosomal RNA", at positions 523 to 796 of the family's 1533-position model. The record is from RNAcentral.
AUACGGAGGGUGCAAGCGUUACUCGGAAUCACUGGGCGUAAAGCGCGCGCAGGCGGCUAUUUAAGUUGGAUGUGAAAGCCUACGGCUCAACCGUAGAACUGCAUCCAAAACUAUUUAGCUAGAGUGUGGGAGAGGAAGAUGGAAUUAGUUGUGUAGGGGUAAAAUCUGUAGAGAUAACUAGGAAUACCAAAAGCGAAGGCAAUCUUCUGGAACAUUACUGACGCUGAGGCGCGAAAGCGUGGGGAGCAAACAGGAUUAGAAACCCUAGUAGUCC